UAGAGUUUGAUCCUGGCUCAGAUUGAACGCUGGCGGAAUGCUUUACACAUGCAAGUCGAACGGCAGCACGGGAGCUUGCUCCUGGUGGCGAGUGGCGAACGGGUGAGUAACAUAUCGGAACGUACCCAGACGUGGGGGAUAACUAGUCGAAAGACUAGCUAAUACCGCAUACGUCCUGAGGGAGAAAGCGGGGGAUCGGUAACGACCUCGCGCGUUUGGAGCGGCCGAUAUCUGAUUAGCUAGAUGGUGAGGUAAAAGCUCACCAUGGCGACGAUCAGUAGCUGGUCUGAGAGGAUGAUCAGCCACACUGGGACUGAGACACGGCCCAGACUCCUACGGGAGGCAGCAGUGGGGAAUUUUGGACAAUGGGCGAAAGCCUGAUCCAGCCAUGCCGCGUGCAGGAUGAAGGCCUUCGGGUUGUAAACUGCUUUUGUACGGAACGAAAAGACUCUGGUUAAUACCUGGGGUCCAUGACGGUACCGUAAGAAUAAGCACCGGCUAACUACGUGCCAGCAGCCGCGGUAA
RNAcentral lists this ribosomal RNA (525 nucleotides) under uncultured Curvibacter sp. Its description in RNAcentral is "bacterial SSU rRNA". It matches the Rfam family "Bacterial small subunit ribosomal RNA", at positions 1 to 523 of the family's 1533-position model. The record is from RNAcentral. Lineage: Bacteria; Pseudomonadati; Pseudomonadota; Betaproteobacteria; Burkholderiales; Comamonadaceae.